Long non-coding RNA from Ctenopharyngodon idella (grass carp), 2610 nucleotides. RefSeq lists it as uncharacterized. Lineage: Eukaryota; Metazoa; Chordata; Actinopteri; Cypriniformes; Xenocyprididae. The record is from RefSeq and is a predicted model, not a curated record. The transcript is spliced from 3 exons.
UCCUGUCCAGGCCACAAUGGCUGGUCCUGCUUCCACUAAUACUACCUUAAUAUUGAUCUAUGGACUGACCAGCUGUUCCAGCAUUUUCUAGCACAAACACACAAAUGUAACUAAUUGUAUUACAGUCUCUCGACAUCAGGACUUGCUAUUCAGAGCACUGGAAUGCAGUCUCUCGGGACCGAAUGACUAAAGCCUUUGUGAUUAACUUCACAACGUGUUUUAAUGGCUUGUGCAUCAGUAACUCUAGCCAAUCUGUUUCGGGAACAUUACAGGACAUCCAGACAAGAUUUGAAGGGAUAGUUCAUCCUAAAAUUACAAUUCUGUCAUCAUUUACUCUCCCUCACAUUGUUCCAAACCUAAUUACAAAACCAUCCUAAAGUUCGGGGUUGCAAAGCUGAAUUUUCAGCACCAUUACUCCAGUUUUCAGUGUCACAUGAUCCUUCAGAAAUCACCAUGAGGGUCCCUUCGCUGCGGCGUUCAGGAAAACCCAUCCGAAGAUGCGUUAUCAGAGCAAACAAGGUGGCAGAAAGAGAGGACCUCAGAGUCUGAUCAGUAUUGCUGAAACAUUUAGAGAAACAUGACCAGAAGAUUCAAGAUCAUGCAUAAAUAAUGUGGAAAAUGAACCAGCCCUGCAACCACCAAUUUGAGGUGUUACUCAUGGUGUAAAAAUAGAAAACAGUAGGGUAGAGAUCACGAAGUCAACAAACGUGAUAUAAUGUUUCUUAAAGAGGUCAUAACAUUUUUAAUUUUCUUUCCCCUGAGGUCUACGUAUAAUAUUUCUUUUGUGUGCUAAAAACAGUCAUAUUGUUGUUUUCAUGACCAUUUUAGGAUAUUCAUACACUGUAAAAAAAAUAUCUUCUAACUUCCUCAUCUGCUUGAAGUAGAAAAAUCUGUUUGGUACCUUAUGUACUGAUAACCACCACCAUAAUAAUAAUACAAGUGGCACAAUACAUGAUGAAUCACUUGAAAGUUUUUUUCUGUUUUUCAAUUCAUUGUUUUGAGGUACUACAUAUGGUGACAAAUUACAUUUAAUAUGAUGUUAAGCCAUUUACACCGGUAAGGUACAUUACAGUUCACCAAGAUUUUUAUCGUAGCAUUUUUACAGUAUUUUUUCUGUAAAAACUAAAAAAUAUUUUUUACAGUGUAGAAAUAAACCAUUCAUUUUGCACUACUGCACCUUUAAGUGCCCAAAUCACAUACAAAAUUCCCAAUAACACUGACUGUGCUCCAGCUACAGUACUUUCAUGUCUAAUAUAAUUUAGUAAGUCCUCCAUCCUCUUCGAAAUUCCACAUUACAUGGUGACGAAUUCACAAAACAAUCUGCACUAAACGGUUUUAUGCAUCAGACUGAAAUGCCCAACAUCUUGUUUAAAAUAAAUACUAAAGAGUUUCUCAUUAAAAAACAACUCGCUCUGAACUUUAGCUACCACAGCAACUGUGACAUAUUGGCAAUGUGACAUUUUUAGCAGCCUAGUUUCAUUAAAUGAUCUUGUUGGACUGGGGAGGACAUUUUGAGUUCCAAUAUGUUUUUCUAGUACAUCGAGCUCUUUUAUGACCCCUUUAAAAUGAGGAGGUUGGCUGGUUAGCAUGGCCCCAUUAGGCCCUGCAGCUUGUUACAGCUCAACAAAUUCUGUGAGCGAAAAUUUAAGAUUUCAAAUCGCAUGCCUGAAUGCGUCAACCAAACAACUGACAUUGAUACGAAUAGGAAUGCAACCAGACAGCUUUCUUCAGGUAUUAUAGACUUCUUUGGAAGGAAGCUUAAUAGAGAGAAUGUUAACGGAAAAGUGAGUGAGAUACCCUGAGCGAGAUAAUGUGAGAGCGAUGAAGAAGUGGAGAACAGAGGCUUCAGUGUGCCCCGUUUCUCUCUCUCCAGACAGACGACUGCUAAAGAGAAACGGCAGCGACAAGAAAGAACGAAAGAAAUAAACGAGUGCGCUGGGCAUUCCAGCGUGACCCUGGCAACCUUUCUACAACAGACUCCCUGUGAGUUAUCCAAGGGCUGACGUUGUGCUCUCCCACACAGAGGGAAAAAAAGCCGCUUGCUGCCUUGGCUGGCAUUUCUUACCCAGGAACCAGAGAAGUGACUAAAGGUGCAUUAUAGACCAAGAAAGACAAAGACUUUGACUCACAAACAAGACCAAAUAACUCCGUCCCACUGGCCUCAGUCAAAACAACAUCAAAAGAAUGCUGCUUCUAUCUAGUUAUUGUCCUAAACGACUAAAAAAAAGAUGCUGGUCGCUGCUUCAUCCACUUGUUUUUCUGCUCCGUAACAAAGAGUGCUCAGAGAGGGACGCAUUCCACACUGAAAACAUCUGGGAUAAUUAUGAGGAAAUUACUGCUGAAAUAAGUGUCAAACCACAUGGUUUUGUUGCAGAGCUUCAGAGACUAAAGCAAGCAACAACAGACACAAAUGCCUUUAGUAAGCACUACUAAUCGAUUAUGUUACAUUGUUGUAUACUAUAAAGCCUUCUUACAUGCAGAAUUUUUACACUAGAAAAAGGCAGUGACUAUGAAGAUGUGACCUCAUGGUUAAAGAUCUGAGUUGAAAACUGAAAGAUUCAAGAUCAGCAAUGUGAUGUUUACCAAAACUCUUAUUAUUAUAAGUGUACU